RNAcentral lists this ribosomal RNA (510 nucleotides) under uncultured bacterium. RNAcentral describes it as "bacterial SSU rRNA". It matches the Rfam family "Bacterial small subunit ribosomal RNA", at positions 1010 to 1517 of the family's 1533-position model. The record is from RNAcentral.
AAGAACGCUUUCAAGGGUCAUAAGAUGGUGCUGAAUGGCUGUCGUCAGCUCGUGUCGUGAGAUGUAGGGUAAGUCCCACAACGACGCGCAACCCCUACUCGAUGUUAAAAUUUCUUCGAGUACUGCCCAGCCCAAAGUUCAUAAAGUUUUUAAUAUGAAUUUUGGGCUGGGAGGAAGGAGGGACGACGUCCAGUCAUCAUAUCCCUUAUGUCUAGGGCUACACAGACGCUACAAUGGCCGUUAACAAUGGGUUGCCAAGCCGCGAGGCGGAGCUAAUCUCAUCAAAAGCGGUCUCAGUUCGGAUUGUAGGCUGCAAUUCGCCUACAUGAAGUCGGAAUUGCUAGUAAUCGUGCAUCAGCAUGGCACGGUGAAUACGUUCUCGGGUCUUGUACACACCGCCCGUCAGGGCAUGGGAGUUGCUCAUACACGAAGUCCUGCAUCAGCAGGCCGAAAGUUAUGGGUGGCGACUAGGCUUAAGUCGUAACAAGGUAACCCGGGCGGCCGCUCGAG